Molecule: long non-coding RNA, 2320 nt
Filed under: Brassica napus (rape)
Lineage: Eukaryota; Viridiplantae; Streptophyta; Magnoliopsida; Brassicales; Brassicaceae
Description: long non-coding RNA (BNAP_LNC001726)
Source: RNAcentral
GAUGUUGGAUCCAUUGUAUGAGCCCUCUCAAAGGCAUGGAAGCGACCUAUAGCAAGAUGAAAAAAAUUAUCAAACUCUAUCUACAACACUUGCACAGUAAAUGUUAGAUAUAUACAAGAGAUAUUGUCGAGAUUAUGAUUUCAUAACUUUAAGAAACUUAGUUAAUGACUUAACCUAGAGUUCUCUCCUCUUGUAUUGUAUAUAUUGGCAAUUGCCAUCUAUUGUGAAUAAUAUAGAAACACAUAUUCUCUACAUGAUAUCAAGAGCCAACGAUUACCCUAAAUUUUUCUUUUGAGCCGCCUUCUUCAAAUCUUCUUCUCUUCUUCUCUUUCAUUUCACUAUGGCCUUCAACGCUCCAGCGGUUGACGUGGUUCAAGGUGUGCUCAACAUCAACAUGAUCAACAUCACAAUGCUCACAACUACCAACUUCAUGACUUGGAAUCUUCAAGUUCAUGCUCUCCUAGACGGCUAUGACGUAUCUGGCUACCUUGAUGGUUCUAUCCCUGCACCAGAUCAGAUGAUAACGGUUGAUGGUCAAUCCGUUCCGAAUCCUGACUAUACGAAAUGGAGACGCCAGGACCGUCUUAUUUACAGCGGUCUUAUUGGCACGCUAUCUCCGUCGAUCCAAACCCUGGUCACCAACACAAAGACCUCGCAAGAUGUUUGGAAGUCUCUCAGCGCCACCUACGCAACACCAAGCCGCGGGCACAUUCAACAGCUUCGCUUGCAGCUCAAGCAAUAAACCAAAGGUGACAAAUCCAUUGAUGAAUACAUGCGUGGCUUAACCAGUCGAUUUGACCAGCUUGCUCUCCUUGGAAAACCACUUGAUCAUGAAGACAAGAUUGAAUAUGUUAUUGAUGGUCUCCCGGAAGAGUACAAGUCUGUCACAGAUCAGGUCGAGGGCCGCGACACAUCUCCAUCUAUCAUUGAAAUACAUGAGAAGCUCAUCAACAAGGAAGCCAAACUGCUGAGCUUGUCUGCGACUGUUGUUACUCCGGUUCCGGUCUCUGCUAAUGUUGCAACCACACGUCCGAAGAAUCAACAACACCGCAACUACAACCGCAACUGGAACAACAACAACAACAACAACAAGGCGCCUCAACAAUCCUAUCAAUCACAGUCAAACGACACUAACCAAAACAGAGGAUAUCAGGGUCGCUGUCAGAUCUGUAGCGUCUUCGGUCACAGCGCCAGGAGAUGCCCUCAGUUCGCUCCCUCGUCACAAAACGCCUACCCUGCCUCGCCUUUCCGUCCAUGGCAGCCAAGAGCGAACAUGGCGAUCUCAGCUCACAACCCGAGCAACGCUUGGCUGAUGGAUUCUGGUGCAACUCAUCACCUCACCAGUGACCUCCACAAUCUCUCACUUCAAAUGCUGCUUGCAAAUGACCUCACCGGGCCGUUGCAAAUGCUGCUUCUGAGUUGAGCUGGAUAUGCAAUAUUCUCACUGAGCUUGGAGUCGCUAUACCAGCAGCACCUGUUGUCUACUGCGACAACGUUGGAGCUACUUUUCUGUGUGCAAAUCCUAUUUUCCACUCUCGCAUGAAGCACAUUGCCAUUGACUAUCAUUUUGUUCGGGGCCAAGUACAACAUGGAGCUCUGCGUGUCUCACACGUCAAUACUAAAGAUCAACUUGCCGAUGCCUUAACUAAGCCUCUAACUCGUGCUCGGUUCCUUGAUCUCAUCAGCAAGAUUGGAGUGAUCCCUCUCCCUCCAUCUUGAGGGGGCGUGUUAGAUAUAUACAAGAGAUAUUGUCGAGAUUAUGAUUUCAUAACUUUAGGAAACUUAGUUAAUGACUUAACCUAGAGUUCUCCCCUCUUGUAUUGUAUAUAUUGGCAAUUGCCAUCUAUUGUGAAUAAUAUAGAAACACAUAUUCUCUACAGUAAAAACAGAGCUAUAGGAGUCAGAAAAAAAAUUAUACAGAGGUAAGCAACUCUUGGAUUAUCUGCUUCAAUGUCAUUAGCUACACCAAAAAUUAUACUCAUCGUGGAUUUAUAUGUGCAGAGGAAAAGGAGGAAAAAGAGAUGCGAACGCGAAGAGAGAUGGAGAUUCGUUGAGUGGGGUUUGGGGUUAUCCAAUUGCUCUAUGAGGAAGUAAAAAUAGAUGGAGAUGCGAGCGCGGAGAGAAUCAAAGAAGAGAGAAACAGAUCGAAUACGAAAGAGAAGAGAAGAAAAGAGGUCACCUUUUCUCAAGUCAAUAUGCAUCUGCCACGUAUGGGUUUUUACUGAUUCUUCAACCUCCAUAUAUAGAACCGGUUCUGUCUCUUUAUUUCAUUUUUCAUUUAUUUUUUCCCCUUUUUUCGUUAGAACCCAUCACUACAACC